UACGGAGGAUGCAAGCGUUAUCCGGAAUGAUUGGGCGUAAAGCGUCCGCAGGUGGCAAUGUAAGUCUGCUGUCAAAGCGUCUGGCUCAACCAGAUAAAGGCAGUGGAAACUACAUAGCUAGAGUAAGGUAGGGGUAGAGGGAAUUCCCAGUGUAGCGGUGAAAUGCGUAGAGAUUGGGAAGAACAUCGGUGGCGAAAGCGCUCUACUGGACCUCAUCGGACACUCAGGGACGAAAGCUAGGGGAGCGAAUGGG
Molecule: ribosomal RNA, 253 nt
Filed under: uncultured bacterium
Lineage: Bacteria
Description: partial 16S ribosomal RNA
Rfam family: Bacterial small subunit ribosomal RNA
Source: RNAcentral